Molecule: long non-coding RNA, 517 nt
Filed under: Mus pahari (shrew mouse)
Lineage: Eukaryota; Metazoa; Chordata; Mammalia; Rodentia; Muridae
Description: lncRNA (MGP_PahariEiJ_G0003181.1)
Source: RNAcentral
CCUCAGAACAAGCUGGCCAGUGAGAUUAGCCAUACUACAAGCUCUUGGUUUGAUUGAGCCAGUCUGCCUCAGUAAAUAAGCCAGAUAGAGGAUGAUUCAGGACACGGAUUGCCCUGGACAUGCUUGCCCUCCCAUGUAUGUCUGCACCCACACCAUGCAUACAAAAGUGCAUUCACACAUGCAGAACACACACACACACACACACACACACACACAGGGAGAAAAAUGUUUAUAAUGGUCGAUGUGAUUUUACCUGAAUUUGACUAUUAUGAAAAGGAAUCCAAAUUCCUUAGACCCAGCCAGAGUUCUACAAAGCAGCCCUUGCCUUUCAAGCCCCUCAGGUGACAACCGGUUUGCUCCACGAAAACUACCCGACUUUAGUUUGCUGUCUAUCCCCUGAAGAUUCCCCAGAGUAACAGCUUGUCCCACCUCAAGGCUCUUUGCUUAGGAAGAAAGCAAAGAAUAGAACCUGCAAGAUGGCCUGUUCACUUUCCAAUUCUGGUGGCCUGAGUUUGAU